CAAAACUAACAUUAGGAACGGAAAAGAGGCAAAAACCCUAAGGAUAUGAAGCCAUCAAGUACAUGUUGAUUUGUCGAUUUGUCUUCAGUGAGACGCCAUUCACCAGCACAGCAAAAUCAGAUUUCGUCUCUCACUGCGCCUACUGUCUUCUCUUCUAAUUGCUGAUGGAUGAAUCCCAAGCCGCCGAUGCUCCUAAUCAAGCGUCUUCCCAACUCUCAAAUACAGCUCCACCUCAACCUCAACCUCAACCUCCAGUUCCUAGCCCGUCUUCGAUUCGGCCUCCGACUCCGACUACAGCUACCUCCACUUCUUCUACCUCUAACCGCAUUGCUGAACACUUGAUGCAUAAGAAUCGAUUACAGGAGUACACACAAAGAGCAUCCUUGCCAUUGCCAAUAUAUCAUACUGCUAAUGAAGGGUAUCAACAUGCACCAAAGUUUAGGUCAACUGUGUUGGUGGAUGGAGUACAGUAUACUUCUCCAAACACUUUUUUGCAUCGGAAGGAAGCAGAACAAGAUGUUGCAAGACUUGCAUUUUCAUGCAUAGUCAAGAAGAUAAAGGAUGAAGGAUGCCCCCUCAUUCGUGAGGACACAGUGUUUUGCAAGUCCAUCUUAAAUGAAUUUGCGAGUAAGAUGCAACUGCAAAAGCCUACAUACAACACUAUACAGCCACAAGGGUUGCUUCCAAUUUUUGUAUCUUCUUUGGUUUUCAAUGGCGUAACUUAUACUGGUGAGACUGGUAGAACCAAGAAGGAAGCUGAACAAUUGGCAGCACGUGCUGUGAUUCUCUCUCUUAUGGGGAAUUCUGGGACGGGGACAAUUAUUUCUGAAAUAGUAAAGUCUAAAGUCAAAUUAUAUGCUGCAUUGAAUAAACUCAAGAACUCACAACAUGCCCAAGGUGACACUGUACCUGUCUCGAGUGAGGAGAAAGAAGCUGAAGUUGUUACAGUUAGUAAUAAUGCAGCAAGUGUAACUUCACAAGCAGCUUCAGGGAUGAUUCGUCCCCACCAUGGAUUCAUCAUGCCAAAACCAGAGCCGGCACGUGAACCAAUUGAACUCCCAAUUACAUUUGUGCAUCCAGUUUCAGAACAAGCUUUGGAUUCUGGUUCUACUUCAGGAAAAAAACGGAAAAAGAACAAGAAAAAAGCCAACAAGAAAGUUCGAACUGAAUCCCAGUCACCUAUUGCUACAAUGCCUUUGAAUCAAGCCUCACCUUAUCCGGUAGCUUAAUGAAAACCAACUUUUGUUGUUUAUUUUGUUGGCUGUAGCUGAAACUUCUCUCCUUGUGUAUACAUAUUUACUAUGUGCUAAAAUUGACAUAGAAUGUGAUGUGAAGGAUGGAAACCGUGGUAAUGACUGGACAGAAAUGAAAUUGUGACCAUCUAGUUAGUUUUCGUUGUUUUUAAUGUAUGUUUUAUGCAUCAAAAUUACUAUUUCCUUUUUCUUAUCAUUAUUAUUAUCUUUUUAUUAUGUUGUUACUCUGUCUUGUUAUUUUUACUUUCAGGUAGAAUUAGCUAUUUCAUUUAAUUGUUAUGGUUGUCAAAUUCAGAUUAACUCGAUUGAUUUAAUUAAAUUAAAUUAAGAAUUGAUAUCUUCAUUGUU
This 1601-nucleotide unclassified non-coding RNA is filed under the name Hevea brasiliensis (rubber tree). Lineage: Eukaryota; Viridiplantae; Streptophyta; Magnoliopsida; Malpighiales; Euphorbiaceae. The record is from RNAcentral.